This 395-nucleotide ribosomal RNA is filed under the name uncultured bacterium. RNAcentral's name for it is "partial 16S ribosomal RNA". It matches the Rfam family "Bacterial small subunit ribosomal RNA", at positions 523 to 918 of the family's 1533-position model. The record is from RNAcentral.
AUACGUAGGGUGCAAGCGUUAAUCGGAAUUACUGGGCGUAAAGCGUGCGCAGGCGGUUUUGUAAGACAGAGGUGAAAUCCCCGGGCUCAACCUGGGAACUGCCUUUGUGACUGCAAGGCUAGAGUACGGCAGAGGGGGAUGGAAUUCCGCGUGUAGCAGUGAAAUGCGUAGAUAUGCGGAGGAACACCGAUGGCGAAGGCAAUCCCCUGGGCCUGUACUGACGCUCAUGCACGAAAGCGGGGGGAGCAAACAGGAUUAGAUACCCUGGUAGUCCACGCCCUAAACGAUGUCAACUGGUUGUUGGGUCUUCAUUGACUCAGUAACGAAGCUAACGCGCGAAGUUGACCGCCUGGGGAGUACGGCCGCAAGGUUGAAACUCAAAGGAAUUGACGGGG